CCUACGGGAGGCUGCAGUGGGGAAUAUUGCACAAUGGGCGCAAGCCUGAUGCAGCCAUGCCGCGUGUGUGAAGACGGCCUUCGGGUUGUAAAGCACUUUCAGCGGGGAGGAAGGCGUUAAGGUUAAUAACCUUGUCGAUUGACGUUACCCGCAGAAGAAGCACCGGCUAACUCCGUGCCAGCAGCCGCGGUAAUACGGAGGGUGCAAGCGUUAAUCGGAAUUACUGGGCGUAAAGCGCACGCAGGCGGUCUGUCAAGUCGGAUGUGAAAUCCCCGGGCUCAACCUGGGAACUGCAUUCGAAACUGGCAGGCUAGAGUCUUGUAGAGGGGGGUAGAAUUCCAGGUGGAGCGGUGAAAUGCGUAGAGAUCUGGAGGAAUACCGGUGGCGAAGGCGGCCCCCUGGACAAAGACUGACGCUCAGGUGCGAAAGCGUGGGGAGCAAACAGGAUUAGAUACCCUUGGAGUC
Molecule: ribosomal RNA, 465 nt
Filed under: uncultured Klebsiella sp.
Lineage: Bacteria; Pseudomonadati; Pseudomonadota; Gammaproteobacteria; Enterobacterales; Enterobacteriaceae
Description: bacterial SSU rRNA
Rfam family: Bacterial small subunit ribosomal RNA
Source: RNAcentral